This 530-nucleotide ribosomal RNA is filed under the name uncultured bacterium. Its description in RNAcentral is "bacterial SSU rRNA". It matches the Rfam family "Bacterial small subunit ribosomal RNA", at positions 777 to 1304 of the family's 1533-position model. The record is from RNAcentral.
AAUAGAUACCCUGGUAGUCCAUGCCGUAAACGUUGGGCGCUAGAUGUGGGGACCAUUCCACGGUUUCCGUGUCGCAGCUAACGCAUUAAGCGCCCCGCCUGGGGAGUACGGCCGCAAGGCUAAAACUCAAAGGAAUUGACGGGGGCCCGCACAAGCGGCGGAGCAUGCGGAUUAAUUCGAUGCAACGCGAAGAACCUUACCAAGGCUUGACAUAUACGAGAACGCUCUAGAAAUAGAGAACUCUUUGGACACUCGUAUACAGGUGGUGCAUGGUUGUCGUCAGCUCGUGUCGUGAGAUGUUGGGUUAAGUCCCGCAACGAGCGCAACCCUCGUUCUAUGUUGCCAGCGGUUCGGCCGGGAACUCAUAGGAGACUGCUGGGGUCAACUCGGAGGAAGGUGGGGAUGACGUCAAAUCAUCAUGCCCCUUAUGUCUUGGGUCUUCACGCAUGCUACAAUGGCCGGUACAAAGGGCUGCAAUACCGUAAGGUGGAGCGAAUACCCAAAAAGCCGGUCUCAGUUCGGAUUGAGGU